AUGUCCCCCUCCUCGGUUAGGGACGGGGACGCCGCACUGCCGCGGGUUUCCUUCUCUUUCCCUUUUGGGGGAGCUCCCCUCUGCCAAGCCAGACGUCCGCCUCCAAGUUCGCCUUCGCGCACCGCGCCGCCCUCAACCCGCCACAUGCGCCCAUCAGCCCCGUACCCCGCAGGGCCCCGGCUGGGCGCCCGCUGGAUGGUUCUCGAGGACUCGGGCUUUGAGGGGAGUUUUUUUCUUAAACAAAAAGCCUUAGCGGCCAGCCGCCCCCUCCUCCAAGCCCGCGCCACCUUCCCUUCACGCCCACGCCGCACCUCCCCGACACACGCGCUGCGAGGUGCCUCUCCCGCCAGACAAUGGGUUCGGGGCCGNNCAGUCAGCCAACCCCCAGCCCCAUGCCCCAUUCCGGGACCCCAAGAAGGCUUGGCGCGGGGAGAUCGGAGGAGGCCAAGGGAGGCCACAAUAAGCGAAGCGGGCGCCUCCCCCUUGGGACCGGGGAUUCGCUCCCGGGGCGCGGAGAAGGGAAGAGGGCGGGGGUCAGCUGCACCGCCUGGUCUGGGGCCCCGGGGCCCGGCUCCCGGCCGCCGCCGCGCACUCACCAGCACGAUGGCAAAUCGCUCCUCCAGUUCACCUGGCUCGGGCAUCGGCAGCUUCAAAGGCACGUUGUGCGCCCUGAAAUCGGUCUGCUGUGAAUCCAUGCUCCCGGCGUUGCCCAUGUUGGCUGCACGCCGGGGCAGGGGACUACUCCGGGCCCCCUGCGUCCGCGUCGGAAAUCAGAACAGCUCCGCUGGCACGCCGCCCCCUGCCAGCGAUAGCGGCCAACGGGAGCGUGGUUGCUCGGAGUUGGUCUCCCGCCGGGACAGUGAUCGCCGCUGACACUUCCAGCUCUACGCCGGCGAUCACGACGCUGGCUCGACCAGCACCUAGAGCAGACAAAUGCAGCUCCGCGCUCCCGACACAAUGCCCCCUCUCGCCCGGCCCCCGCCCCCGGCCCGGCUCCGCCCACUCGCCCCACGGACUGCCGGGACCAGUAGUUUCUGCCCAAAGUGUCUGCACGCAGAAACCACGCCCUCUCUGGAGGGCCCGGCUGGGUUAGGGCCGCUUGCAGGAAAGGCAAUCUGAGCACCUUCGGGAAGUGUCACUUUUGACCCCCACCCCCACGCCACUCCAACGGAAGAGAUACUAAUCGUCUACAUUGAUUAGUAGGCAAUCGGGCACAUUUGGCAAGUGAAUGAAUUAACCAGUCAAUGAUUGAAUNNNNNNNNNNNNNNNNNNNNNNNNNNNNNNNNNNNNNNNNNNNNNNNNNNNNNNNNNNNNNNNNNNNNNNNNNNNNNNNNNNNNNNNNNNNNNNNNNNNCAAGUGAAUGAAUUAACCAGUCAAUGAUUGAAUGCACGCAUUUUGAUUUAAAUUUCAGGAGCUGUUCAACAGGAGACCUCAUGGGUAUUGGCAACUUUCUCCGCCAUAAACUGGGAUGUGGGUCCAUGAGUGUUUGUUAUAUUGUUCUUUCUUCCAUGUGUAUGUUACACAUUCACAUAUUCUUUUGUGCAGUUGAAAUGUUUUAUAAACAAGUGUACUUUUGUGGAUAUUUACAAACUUUCAGAUGGAUAUAUACCUUUAUACAUCCUGGUCAGACCCCAGGAUUUGGAUGAGGAGGAUUCAAAACAAAUAUCUGUCAAAAAGCUAUUACGAAUGGGUGGGUUACUGUGUUCCUUGACUAGAGAAAGACUUUCCAGUCAAAUGAAGGAGAAAAUUUACACAACUAUGCUUUGCAUGAGAAAUAAGAACAGAGCAUUUGAAAAGGCUCUGGAGAUGGUCUUUGGCUGUAGCUGUUUUAUUCCUCUAUAGCACUCUUGUUCCAGGUAUUUUACAGAGAAGACUGGGCCCAACCCUGCCCUUCCUGAGUGCUCUUACAACUAUACUGUCCAUUCAGAGACAGUGGAAUUAGAGACAGCCUUAGAAAACGUGUAGCCACAUUACCCUUUGUAGAUUUCAAGGGUACCCACCUGGUUGACUUGUGGCUGCAGUCCUGUGAUUAGUCCUUUCUUAGCUUAAAAUAGUGUUUCUUAAUCCUGGUUCCUGUAUCAGAUUCACAUAGGGAGGUUGUUAAAACUGCACUGCAGGAUGGGCCCUGACUAUUAUCAGAAUUUCCCUAAGCUAAGAGCUAGGGCCGGGGUAUAUUUUUAACAAGCCCUCCAGGUGCUUCUGAUAUAAAACUG
Molecule: long non-coding RNA, 2213 nt
Filed under: Capra hircus (goat)
Lineage: Eukaryota; Metazoa; Chordata; Mammalia; Artiodactyla; Bovidae
Description: lncRNA (ENSCHIG00010025821.1)
Source: RNAcentral